UAUAAGAGACCCCAAUCAUCUAGGCCAUGACUUUCUUUAAUAUGCACGAAGCCUAGACAACAUUCAUCAUCACCAUUAACUCAAUUUCUUGAGAGCCCUCAAGGAUGGCAAAAGCAUACCUAUCCAAAAGUGAAAGAUACAGAAAUCAGGUGGUGAAGAAGCUUGGUCUACGGGGUCUGUUUACUCGUGCUCUCCACUGCGCAUUGCCAUGAUGGCAAACAUUCACCGAUGCUUUUAGGGUUUUUGUACGCCUACGGUUGGUCAAUGUACCAUCUAGGAGGAAUCUGUCUCUCCUUGCACCUCUUGGCACCAGAGUCUGAAAAUGAGCUAAACUUUAUUUAUUGUGGUUAAUCUUUCCAAAAGAAAGAAAGCAAUGUUGAUGCCUGAAAUUUUGUAUGGUGGAACUGGCAGAGCAUCAUUUGUUCAGAGAGUGGCAGAUUAAUGCUUCAAACUACUUGUUUGUUCAUUUUUAAUAUAAAAUGUCUUCUUAUUAAUAUUUGCUAUCGUUAUCAUUAACACAGGCUAGCAAUCAGGUUCGUCAUUUUCAUGAUACUAAGAUGGGUCACUUGAGGAAGAAAAAGCGAAGAGGAAGGAACAAGAAAGGAUCUAAUUCAUGGUUGGAAGCCUGCAAUGGGGGAUUUCAGGCUCAUGCAUUCAAGGAGAGAUUCUGAUCUUCCUAUGUGUGCUUCUCAUAUUCACUGUUGAUGUCUUUAAAUAUCAGUAGAUUAUAUCAAUGUAAUAGAGGUAACCAUCAGGUUUACAGAAGUAUCCUUUCAAAAAAGGAAGAGAAAGCUUCAGCC
This is a long non-coding RNA of Nymphaea colorata (pocket water lily), 800 nucleotides long. RefSeq lists it as uncharacterized. Lineage: Eukaryota; Viridiplantae; Streptophyta; Magnoliopsida; Nymphaeales; Nymphaeaceae. The record is from RefSeq and is a predicted model, not a curated record. The transcript is spliced from 3 exons.